AGAGUUUGAUCCUGGCUCAGAUUGAACGCUGGCGGCAGGCCUAACACAUGCAAGUCGAGCGGUAGAGAGGUGCUUGCACCUCUUGAGAGCGGCGGACGGGUGAGUAAAGCCUAAGAAUCUGCCUGGUAGUGGGGGAUAACGCUCGGAAACGGACGCUAAUACCGCAUACGUCCUACGGGAGAAAGCAGGGGACCUUCGGGCCUUGCGCUAUCAGAUGAGCCUAGGUCGGAUUAGCUAGUUGGUGAGGUAAUGGCUCACCAAGGCGACGAUCCGUAACUGGUCUGAGAGGAUGAUCAGUCACACUGGAACUGAGACACGGUCCAGACUCCUACGGGAGGCAGCAGUGGGGAAUAUUGGACAAUGGGCGAAAGCCUGAUCCAGCCAUGCCGCGUGUGUGAAGAAGGUCUUCGGAUUGUAAAGCACUUUAAGUUGGGAGGAAGGGCAUUAACCUAAUACGUUAGUGUUUUGACGUUACCGACAGAAUAAGCACCGGCUAACUCUGUGCCAGCAGCCGCGGUAAUACAGAGGGUGCAAGCGUUAAUCGGAAUUACUGGGCGUAAAGCGCGCGUAGGUGGUUCGUUAAGUUGGAUGUGAAAUCCCCGGGCUCAACCUGGGA
RNAcentral lists this ribosomal RNA (616 nucleotides) under uncultured bacterium. RNAcentral's name for it is "bacterial SSU rRNA". It matches the Rfam family "Bacterial small subunit ribosomal RNA", at positions 8 to 619 of the family's 1533-position model. The record is from RNAcentral.